AUGCUACCACCAAAUAUGCUCAAUGCUGCAACUGGUGCUAUGCGGAGUCUGCACGACAGUGUUCUUUCUUUGGAGAAGCGGCGUCUCAGAGAGAAGGAUGUGGCAUACCCGGUUUUCGUGGCCAAGGUGCCAGAGGGCAAGGGCUUUGUGGAUGGCGACAUCGGGGGUACGAUCGUCCUGCGGUUUGAUGACAUCUUUGCUAUGUUUAACCUUCAUCCGCUGCACUACACCUUCGUUCGGCUAUUUUCGCUGAGUAUGGAGAUGCGGAUCAUUCGCGACAAGACCCCGGACAUCGUGAUAGUCGACCCCUUCUACAUGCGUGCCAAGAUCUUGGGCAACGCUGGGGACCGGCAAGUCGCGAGUUCUUACCUCGAAGGCGUCAUUCUGGCAAACCAAGAUAAGGAUAACUUCCUCGUGCCUUACUUUCCCGAGUAA
This 435-nucleotide ribosomal RNA is filed under the name Triticum aestivum (bread wheat). Its description in RNAcentral is "partial small subunit ribosomal RNA". The record is from RNAcentral. Lineage: Eukaryota; Viridiplantae; Streptophyta; Magnoliopsida; Poales; Poaceae.